CUUCACCCUCCUCUGACUCUCAACGACAGCAGAGAGUGACAAGCAAACAUGCUGCUACUGGCAGCACUUGUGGCCACAGCUGCUUGGUCUUAUGGAUUUGCACAAGAAAUUCCCGUGCAGAGCCCUAUAUCCAUCACAAAGUUCAGAAGAAGUGCACGGAUGACAUGUGAAAUUCAAACAUCAGCAGCAAGUUUUGAUGGCAUUGUCAUACACUGGUACCAACAGAAGGAGGGUAAAUCUCCUGAGAGGCUCCUGUUCUAUUCAGGAGGGAAACCUUCAUUUGAAAGUGGCUUUCAAGCAGACAGGUACAUGAUUGAAACAGUUUCUAGCCAGAAUCGAUGUGUUUUUACAAUAAAAGAUGUAAUACCAGAUGAUGCUGCUACUUACUACUGUGCCUACUGGGACCCUCACUGUGAUAGAAAUUCAAAGAUCAUCAAGGCAAAAAACUCGUCUCCCUCAACAUCUGAACCACGGGGCUGCAAACAGGAAUUUUUGGAAGGAAGAAGAUUUGCUGAAACUGUCAAGUUUGAUGGAUUUAUUUCAAAUUUGCCAUGA
Non-coding RNA from Athene cunicularia (burrowing owl), 555 nucleotides. The record is from the annotation of a RefSeq genome assembly. Lineage: Eukaryota; Metazoa; Chordata; Aves; Strigiformes; Strigidae.